Molecule: transfer RNA, 68 nt
Filed under: Plesionika edwardsii
Lineage: Eukaryota; Metazoa; Arthropoda; Malacostraca; Decapoda; Pandalidae
Description: tRNA-Gln
Source: RNAcentral
UAUAUCUUAGUGUAGAAGCACAUAAAGUUUUGAUCUUUAGAGAAAUGGUGUAAUUCCAUUAGAUAUAG